RNAcentral lists this small nucleolar RNA (105 nucleotides) under Sorex araneus (European shrew). Its description in RNAcentral is "Small nucleolar RNA U13 (ENSSARG00000019644.1)". The record is from RNAcentral. Lineage: Eukaryota; Metazoa; Chordata; Mammalia; Eulipotyphla; Soricidae.
ACUAUUCUCUGGUUCAUAACUGUGGCAUCUGGAUAUUCAUGUCACUGCCUGCUAUGUAUCUUGCUCAAACUCUGAUUCCACAGUCAGCACAUUACCUAUUUGGCA